This 873-nucleotide ribosomal RNA is filed under the name Metapseudomonas otitidis. Its description in RNAcentral is "bacterial SSU rRNA". It matches the Rfam family "Bacterial small subunit ribosomal RNA". Lineage: Bacteria; Pseudomonadati; Pseudomonadota; Gammaproteobacteria; Pseudomonadales; Pseudomonadaceae. The record is from RNAcentral.
CUCAGAUUGAACGUGGCGGCAGGCCCUAACACAAUGAAAGUCGAGCGGAUGAGUGGAGCUGCUCCAGGAUUCAAGCGGCGGACGGGUGAGUAAUGCCUAGGAAUCUGCCUGGUAGUGGGGGAUAACGUUUUGAAAGGAACGCUAAUACCGCAUACGUCCUACGGGAGAAAGUGGGGGAUCUUCGGACCUCACGCUAUCAGAUGAGCCUAGGUCGGAUUAGCUAGUUGGUGGGGUAAUGGCCCACCAAGGCGACGAUCCGUAACUGGUCUGAGAGGAUGAUCAGUCACACUGGAACUGAGACACGGUCCAGACUCCUACGGGAGGCAGCAGUGGGGAAUAUUGGACAAUGGGCGAAAGCCUGAUCCAGCCAUGCCGCGUGUGUGAAGAAGGUCUUCGGAUUGUAAAGCACUUUAAGUUGGGAGGAAGGGCAGUAAGUUAAUACCUUGCUGCUUUGACGUUACCAACAGAAUAAGCACCGGCUAACUUCGUGCCAGCAGCCGCGGUAAUACGAAGGGUGCAAGCGUUAAUCGGAAUUACUGGGCGUAAAGCGCGCGUAGGUGGUUCAGCAAGUUGGAUGUGAAAGCCCCGGGCUCAACCUGGGAAUUGCAUCCAAAACUACUGAGCUAGAGUACGGUAGAGGGUGGUGGAAUUUCCUGUGUAGCGGUGAAAUGCGUAGAUAUAGGAAGGAACACCAGUGGCGAAGGCGACCACCUGGACUGAUACUGACACUGAGGUGCGAAAGCGUGGGGAGCAAACAGGAUUAGAUACCCUGGUAGUCCACGCCGUAAACGAUGUCGACUAGCCGUUGGGAUCCUUGAGAUCUUAGUGGCGCAGCUAACGCGAUAAGUCGACCGCCUGGGAGACCAACUUUGC